Aedes albopictus (Asian tiger mosquito) is the source of this 47-nucleotide non-coding RNA. The record is from Rfam. Lineage: Eukaryota; Metazoa; Arthropoda; Insecta; Diptera; Culicidae.
CCAAAGGCUCCUCUCUGGAGCCACCAAAAUGUCACCGCCAGGAGUUA